GCCUACGACCAUAUCACCCUGAAUGCGCCCGAUCUCGUCUGAUCUCGGAAGCUAAGCACCGUCGAGUCUGGUUGGUACUUGGAUGGGAGACUGCCUGGGAAUACCAGGUGUUGUAGGCU
RNAcentral lists this ribosomal RNA (119 nucleotides) under Petromyzon marinus (sea lamprey). The record is from RNAcentral. Lineage: Eukaryota; Metazoa; Chordata; Hyperoartia; Petromyzontiformes; Petromyzontidae.